RNAcentral lists this unclassified non-coding RNA (662 nucleotides) under Hevea brasiliensis (rubber tree). Lineage: Eukaryota; Viridiplantae; Streptophyta; Magnoliopsida; Malpighiales; Euphorbiaceae. The record is from RNAcentral.
AGUUGCGAUAUAAACUCAUCGGACACGCGUAUUCUCAGGCAUCCAGAUGGAGAUUUUUGUAUGUCAAAGGGUUGGCAAGUGGCUACCUUCUUUAGAAGCGCAUUUGUUGAGUCUCUGCUGGAGGAGGAAGAAGAAGAUGAUGGUUGGGCCUGGAACUGGGAGGAAGUGUUGACAAAGGAGGCGAUGGUGACAAAUGAUAGAACCAUGACAGGACUGACUGGAAACAAUGUUUAGGGAGGAGAAAGUACUUGUGGCCCAGCUGAAGCUGGUCGUUCUCAGACAGAGCUGGGAUCUUCUGCCCUAUGUAGAAAGAAUCUGAGCGGCACACCAGGUGCUUUGGAUACUCCACCAAUAGCUCUGAGACGUGGAUGGGUCGGUCAUAGAUCUUCACUAGCCCAUCGGAUUUGAUGAGCUUAAUAGUCUCCACCGGUGGGUCAGGGCGGAUAUGCACGCACGAGAUGUGGUUGCUCAAGAGGUGAAAACACCAUGGAAUCAUAUGCAGAUUCAAAAAUUUGAUGCCCAUUUACUUAGCGAUAACUCAGGAGCUGAAAAGAUAUAUAUAUAUAUACAAAGAAAGUUAAGUUGCGUUCAUAAGUGGAUGAUGAUGAGAAGGGAAAGAUUAGUUUCUGGUUUUCUGGUAUGGCGAGUUAGAGUAUUAGUAG